This 255-nucleotide ribosomal RNA is filed under the name uncultured prokaryote. RNAcentral's name for it is "partial 16S ribosomal RNA". It matches the Rfam family "Bacterial small subunit ribosomal RNA", at positions 523 to 777 of the family's 1533-position model. The record is from RNAcentral.
AUACGUAGGGUGCGAGCGUUGUCCGGAAUUAUUGGGCGUAAAGAGCUCGUAGGCGGUUUGUCGCGUCGGCCGUGAAAACUUGGGGCUUAACUCCAAGCUUGCGGUCGAUACGGGCAGACUUGAGUUCGGCAGGGGAGACUGGAAUUCCUGGUGUAGCGGUGAAAUGCGCAGAUAUCAGGAGGAACACCGGUGGCGAAGGCGGGUCUCUGGGCCGAUACUGACGCUGAGGAGCGAAAGCGUGGGGAGCGAACAGGA